This 527-nucleotide ribosomal RNA is filed under the name Bifidobacterium adolescentis. RNAcentral's name for it is "partial 16S ribosomal RNA". It matches the Rfam family "Bacterial small subunit ribosomal RNA", at positions 158 to 696 of the family's 1533-position model. The record is from RNAcentral. Lineage: Bacteria; Bacillati; Actinomycetota; Actinomycetes; Bifidobacteriales; Bifidobacteriaceae.
GGGUGGUAAUGCCGGAUGCUCCAGUUGACCGCAUGGUCCUCUGGGAAAGCUUUUGCGGUAUGGGAUGGGGUCGCGUCCUAUCAGCUUGAUGGCGGGGUAACGGCCCACCAUGGCUUCGACGGGUAGCCGGCCUGAGAGGGCGACCGGCCACAUUGGGACUGAGAUACGGCCCAGACUCCUACGGGAGGCAGCAGUGGGGAAUAUUGCACAAUGGGCGCAAGCCUGAUGCAGCGACGCCGCGUGCGGGAUGACGGCCUUCGGGUUGUAAACCGCUUUUGACUGGGAGCAAGCCCUUCGGGGUGAGUGUACCUUUCGAAUAAGCACCGGCUAACUACGUGCCAGCAGCCGCGGUAAUACGUAGGGUGCAAGCGUUAUCCGGAAUUAUUGGGCGUAAAGGGCUCGUAGGCGGUUCGUCGCGUCCGGUGUGAAAGUCCAUCGCUUAACGGUGGAUCCGCGCCGGGUACGGGCGGGCUUGAGUGCGGUAGGGGAGACUGGAAUUCCCGGUGUAACGGUGGAAUGUGUAGAUA